This 301-nucleotide ribosomal RNA is filed under the name uncultured bacterium. Its description in RNAcentral is "partial 16S ribosomal RNA". It matches the Rfam family "Bacterial small subunit ribosomal RNA", at positions 509 to 807 of the family's 1533-position model. The record is from RNAcentral.
CAGUAGCCGCGGGAAUACGAGGGGGGCAAGCGUUGUUCGGAAUUAUUGGGCGUAAAGGGAGCGUAGGCGGUUUUGUAAGUCGUGUGUGAAAUCUUCAGGCUCAACCUGAAGUCUGCACACGAAACUGCAGGGCUUGAGUAUGGGAGAGGUGAGUGGAAUUCCUGGUGUAGCGGUGAAAUGCGUAGAUAUCAGGAGGAACACCUGUGGCGAAAGCGGCUCACUGGACCAUUACUGACGCUGAGGCUCGAAAGCUAGGGGAGCAAACAGGAUUAGAUACCCGUGUAGUCCCUGUCUCUUAUAC